AUGGCCUCCCGUCCCCCCAACUCCGCCGACGGCGAGGGCCCCGCAGGGAAUAACGUGGAAUUGCCAUCCCUGCCCUUUCAUGUUGUUACUAAACCUAGUCAACUCCCAGUUGAGUUUCUUGAGCCCUCUGCUGCCAAGAAAUUGGUGAUUGGAUUUGACUGUGAAGGUGUUGACCUUUGCCGCCAUGGUGCUCUCUGUAUCAUGCAGAUUGCAUUUCCUGACGCUGUUUACUUGGUCGAUGCUAUUGAGGGUGGAAAAGAACUAGUUCAAGCUUGCAAACCAGCACUUGAGUCCAAUCAUAUCACCAAAGUUAUUCAUGACUGUAAAAGGGACAGUGAGGCAUUGUAUUUCCAGUUUGGCAUUAAAUUACAUAAUGUGAUGGAUACACAGAUAGCCUAUUCCCUGAUUGAAGAGCAGGAAGGUAAAAAGAGAGCAUAUGAUGUUUACAUAUCCUUCGUGAGCCUUCUUGCCGAUCCUCGUUAUUGUGGAAUGCCAUAUCCUGAAAAGGAAGAAGUCCGUACCCUUCUAAGGCAGGACCCAAAUUUCUGGAAAAAUAGGCCCUUGUCUGAAAUGAUGAUUCGAGCAGCGACAGAUGAUGUGCGCUUCCUUCUCAAUAUACAUGAGAAAAUGAUGGAGAAGUUAAGCAAAGUAUCUUCAUGGCGUCUGGCAGUACGAAGUGAGCUAUACUGUAGGUGCUUUUGCAUAAAUGACAACCAGCAGGCAGAUUGGCCGCCUCUUCCAACUGUCCCUGAUGACAUUGAAGCUGAAGCUCGUGUUCCUGAAGUGGAUAUCCUUUCGCUCUUAGAUGUGCCUCCUGGAAAAAUGGGUCGUGUUAUUGGCAGAAAAGGAUCAUCAAUAAUGGCUGUGAAAGAAUCUUGCAAUGUUGAAAUCCAUAUCGGUGGUGCAAAGGGACCUCCAGAUAGGGUGUUCAUCAUUGGACCAGUGAAGGAAGUCAGAAAGGCGGAGGCCAUCCUGAGGGGCCGAAUGCUGUAA
Molecule: ribosomal RNA, 993 nt
Filed under: Triticum aestivum (bread wheat)
Lineage: Eukaryota; Viridiplantae; Streptophyta; Magnoliopsida; Poales; Poaceae
Description: partial small subunit ribosomal RNA
Source: RNAcentral